This is a non-coding RNA of Pantherophis guttatus, 1102 nucleotides long. The record is from RefSeq and is a predicted model, not a curated record. Lineage: Eukaryota; Metazoa; Chordata; Lepidosauria; Squamata; Colubridae.
AAUGAUGCCACGAACAAAUCGGUGCCCGGAACAUUUGUGACUUAUUUAUGCACCAGAUGCUUGCUUAGAUUUUCAACGCAAGUGAAUUUGCAAAGGGGACUUUGAGAUUUCUGGCCUAGACCAAUAUCUACAGCCUUUUUCGCCCAGUUCGGUUGGGACUCCGUGCCUAGCAAAAUCCUGAAUUUUGUGAAAUUCCUGGGAAAUCUGCAAGCUCAGCUGAAGGGCACCAGGUUGGAGAAGAGUAGCAAGCAAACGUCCGGCAUGUCAGCGAGUAUCUUAAGGAUAUAUUUGUUUACAGCAGCUUUGAGUUGGCUAAGAGAUUCGGAUGCCAAGUUUCUGUUCACAGGGUAAGGUUGCAGAAGAGAAGCGAAGGACCACUUCAGCAAAAAGACAUCCAAAAUAGUCUAUGGAGAUUCUCCGUCAUCCAGGUCAUGAUUGUCCUCAAAGGUGCCGACACCUCCCUAUCCUGCCUUUUUUGUCCUGCUUACUGACAAUUGUCGUGCGUGUUACUGUUGUGGCCUGUAUGCGGCCUGUGCAGCUAGUAGCUGAUUCUGACAGCGAGGAGGCUGGUGUGGUGCUAUGCUAGCAGCCUGUGCAGCUGGCACUCGAGUCGGACAGUGAGGAGGCUGGAGAAGAUGUGGUGCCAGAGGCAGGGAUUCAGCCAGGGCCUUCAGAACCUCCAGAAGCUCCUAUAAGUGAAGAGGAUGAAGAGGAGGAGCCUCUUCUCGAUGCACGGGCGCGCAGAGCUGCCAAAAGGCAGGAGUAGCUCCUCAGGAGGAGGUCUCCUCGAGAGUAAGGCUUGGGGCUAAUUGGCCACUCCCUUAGCCUAUUUAAGGAGGAACGCCGACUGAAGCAAUUUGCAGGAAACAACUUCAUUCAUAUUCCUUUGCGUCUUGAUUCCAGAAACGUCUGAUCGGCUCUUGCUCUUUUUUUGUCAAGUUUUCCUGCAAAUUGCUUCUGGGCAUUCUGCCAACCACAGUAAGAUUAUCUGAAAUACUGUGUUUCACAAUUGAGUCAUUAUUCUUUGGAUUCUUGUCGGCUGUUAAUGAAGUUAAAUUAACAGCCCUUGUUCAGAAAAGACUGAUUUAAACUGUACUUGUGU